Molecule: non-coding RNA, 25772 nt
Organism: Xyrichtys novacula (pearly razorfish)
Lineage: Eukaryota; Metazoa; Chordata; Actinopteri; Labriformes; Labridae
Source: the annotation of a GenBank genome assembly
GCAGAACCACGAAGAUGACGGAUCAGUUCUUUCUCAGGAUGUUUUUACUCUGUGGGAGGAUUUUUGGAUUUGAAUAAAACAUCAUAACCUGUUCAGUUGAAGCUGAAGGAUUUUAUUGAAGAAGAGCGGGUGAUGUUUGAAGCAGCAGGAGGAGCCAGGUGGUGGAUGUGGAGGAGAAAAUCACACAGACAGGAGUCACCGAGUCUCCUGAGGACUGGAGGGUUUGAACAGUUUGUUUCCGCAGCGCGUGUUCUGCCUGCUGGGUUUUAUUAAUGAACUGUAUGUUUGCUGGCAUAUUGAUCUCUUCGCAGAUUGACAUAUUUGCUUGUUAGUUUCUUUCCUCCUCGCCGGGAUGUUCGCUCAUGUUUGUUGCUAUGGCAGUCGACCUACAGCUGCUCGGAUAUCGAUUUCUGCAUCAGCUCCGGUAAGUUGGGGGUCUGUGUCGGUCUUUGUAGCAGAGCAGUUUCAGUUGUUCUGUGAGUUUUAACAUCUUUUUAUAGCUUUGAAUCAUCUUCGCAGGAUUUUCCUCUUUGGAUUCAACUUCUGCAGAAUCAUCUCCACCGUCGGCGCUCUGACACACCUCCACAUUUCUCACUCACAUCAGAGCUGCGAACGAAAGAGCGACUGAGCUGGAAUAUUGUAAAGGAGACAUAACAAAGUCGACGUACACGAUCUGAGAGUGAAAUGUUAAACUAACUUUGACAGUAAGAGUUUGAUUGUUACCUGUUCAAGAAAUCUCCUGAUCUCAGACAGCUAAUCAAUACUCAAGCUUCAAGGUGCAGCUUCACAGCGAGAGAGGGAGAGAGUGAGAGAGACAGAGUGCAGUGAAGCAGCGGUGUGCCGCCGCUGAACAGAGACUCCUGAUACUCUCACUGAUGUCUAUUUACACCGAACUAAAACUUCACUAAACUCCAAUAAACAAAAUAAAAUCCAACAUCAGCGACUGUUAUAAGAUUCUUCAACUUACACUUAACAUUAAAUCACAUGACCACAGUUAAAACAAACGCCAUUAAGCAUGGAGAAAUAAAAGAAAACACACAAACUAGCAGGUAACAACACCGCUAGAGGUGCUUGUUGCUACCUAAUCGGUCCGCAUGUGUCAAACGUACGUCACUUUCUCUCUUCAUAUUUUAAUGCACUUUGCGGAGGUUAGUCGUUACUUUUGCUACCUACCCGAUCCGUACUGCGCAAGAGCAGAUUUACGUCACCUCAAGAACUUUAUUUAAACUACCGAUCGAUUUCAGAAACCAGCCGGCGAUGUGACAGGCCGGCUAACAGGAGGCUCCAGGGCUAAUGCCGAGGCAUUUAUGACUACGUUGCAGUUUUACAAUUAAGCUGUAGUAAGUACCUUUACUCGUGAAACUGGGCGCCAUUCUCUUGACUUUCCGGCGCUCUGCUUCACGUCUGGUUCACACUGGAAGCGCCGCGCGCGGAACGGAAGCGCCGCGCACAGAGUUUCGGAUCGGCGCCCAUGUUAACCUAUGAGACUGUUCACACAGCACGCGCGCGGAAGCGCCGCGCGCGGAACGGCUCGCGCUCUGGAGCGCGGGUGCUCCGCUUCUCUCUAUUUUCGGCGCGAGCCGCGAGCGCCGAUGUAAAGCUCAACAGAGCAGAUCGGACCAGACAGGAAGUCAGGAAGGAGAUGCGAGAGAAUCCGGUCAAUUUUCAAAAUAAAGUAAAUUUCAAUAAAUUAGAAAAGGAUUUACGGUGUUGCUUGUCAGUCUAUUUUUUUUACCGAUGAACACACACACACACACACACACACACACACACACACACACACACACACACACGCACACACGGAGGGAGAGCUGCAGAGAUUCAGUGAUGUUAUUGAGACAAAGAGGGGGGACUUUAUUACGAUACAGUCAAUAGCCUCGAGCUAACAAGGCUAUACAUACAACGGAGUCAACAGACUCCCCAAUUUAUUCGUCGUUUACCCCUAUAUCAUUAUUUAAAAGCAUCGUACUUGAAGAUGCUGUCAAUAUUUAAUUCAUGUAUGACGAAAUAAAAACGUAAAUAAAUAGUGAUUUACCCAUUUUUAAAGCGCUCGUAAGUGUGGAAAACUGAGGGCAGACGGAAACGGCCGAGCACUAUCGGGCUCAGUCGAUGUCUGACCGGCAUGUCAGAGCGCAGCAGAAAGCGCUUCCUGUGUGACGUCUGGUUCACACAGGAAGCGCCGCGCGCGGAACGGAAGCGCCGCGCGCGCGCGCGCAGCGCCGGCUCGCGCUUGGCUGUUCACACAGGAAGCGCUUUCUGCUGCGCUCUGACAUGCCGGUCAGACAUCGACUGAGCCCGGUAGUGCUCGGCCGUUUCCGUCUGCCCUCAGUUUUCCACACUUACGAGCGCUUUAAAAAUGGGUAAAUCACUAUUUAUUUACGUUUUUAUUUCGUCAUACAUGAAUUAAAUAUUGACAGCAUCUUCAAGUAAUGUUUUAAAUUAUUAUAUAGGGGUAAACGACGAAUAAAUUGGGGAGUCUGUUGACUCCGUUGUAUGUAUAGCCUUGUUAGCUCGAGGCUAUUGACUGUAUCGUAAUAAAGUCCCCCCCCUCUUUGUCUCAAUAACAUCACUGAAUCUCUGCAGCUCUCCCUCCGUGUGUGCGUGUGUGUGUGUGUGUGUGUGUGUGUGUGUGUGUGUGUGUGUGUGUGUGUGUGUGUGUUCAUCGGUAAAAAAAAUAGACUGACAAGCAACACCGUAAAUCCUUUUCUAAUUUAUUGAAAUUUACUUUAUUUUGAAAAUUGACCGGAUUCUCUCGCAUCUCCUUCCUGACUUCCUGUCUGGUCCGAUCUGCUCUGUUGAGCUUUACAUCGGCGCUCGCGGCUCGCGCCGAAAAUAGAGAGAAGCGGAGCACCCGCGCUCCAGAGCGCGAGCCGUUCCGCGCGCGGCGCUUCCGUGCGCGUGCUGUGUGAACAGUCUCAUAGGUUAACAUGGGCGCCGAUCCGAAACUCUGUGCGCGGCGCUUCCGUUCCCGCGCGCGGCGCUUCCAGUGUGAACCAGGCGUGAACAGCCAAGCGCGAGCCGGCGCUGCGCGCGCGCGCGGCGCUUCCGUUCCGCGCGCGGCGCUUCCUGUGUGAACCAGGCGUCAGUCGGGGGAAGAACUCCGCUCAAGAGAAAAGAAAAGCGUGUGGCUGGUGAUGAACUGAAGCAUCCUCUAUAACUGUAGCGAGCUCGCUGAUGCCGAAGCGGUCGAACUAGUGUCCAAGCUGUCGCAAACCGCGAGGAGUGAAGAAUUGCCGAGCUGUUCCAAAGACGGCUAGUAGCGGCAGUGCUCCUCGGUCUCUGUGAAGCAGACAGAUCCUGCAUACGCUACUUCUUCUUUUCUCAUUUCAAAAUAAAAGCAUGUGUUUCAAAAUAAGGCCAAAAUAUAAUUUUUUAACUACAAAUGAGUAUCAGUUUUAAAUAUUGGUUAUCUGUUUCCUUGAUUACUAAUAAUUGGUAUCUGCCCAAAAUUAAAAACACAUCGGUCAAUCUUUAUUUCAGUCGCCUGGUAAAAAAGGGUUUUAUGAAAAUAAUAUGCGACUAACCAAAUCGAUGCACCGUUGCAGUCAAAUAUUUAGGAGCAUCGUUUUCAGUGUGAGUGAUUUUUGUGUUGAAACUGUUUCCCCAGUUUCUGUGAGAAAUGACUGGUGUUUGAUUAGUAAUGUCUGCUAAGAGGCCCAGGCUUUAAAAUAACACGUUUGUUGGCAGGCGUUAAGAAUCAGCCCUCCAGUCGAACCUUUAAAUAGCCGACAACACUUCAGUUUGGCAAUCUUCAUUUUCAAUUCAGUUCUCAGGUUCAUUCAAACACAAACAGACGGGCUGAUCAUCUUCACCUUCAUCAUCACAGCUUAUUUUCACUCAGUCUGAUUUAUACCGGUUAUUUUCUCUGACUUCUUUAACAUCGCCCUUUAUAAAUUUGUCAGAUUUCUGUUUAUUUAAUAGAAAAUCUUUUUAAAAAGUAUAUUUACAGUUUUGCUGUUUCGUCUUUGGAGAAAUCUGCAGACUUUUGAAUCAGCUUUUUGACCCCACCUGACACACCAGCUACAUUUUUAUGACAAAAUCAUCAAAUUCAAUCCUGAAAAAACAUAAAUUCAAGGUGAAACAGCUUCUCUUUUGAAGGCCAUGAUAACUCCUCUGGACUCACUUUCAUUUAUUCAUCUGAAGUUUCCUGAUUUCCACAAACUCAUUAACGGAGUUUGUGUCGUAUGUGUGUGUGUUUACACACAAUCCUUGUGUUGAUAAUGAGGAGAGUAUCAGUGAGCUGUUUGGAUGCAUAGCGGUAGGAGCUAAUAUUUCACUCAAUCAUGCACACUGUGGUUUCUAAUUCAAUAGAUUUGUCUUAUUAUUUCUGCUCUAUAGCGCUCUAACCAAAUCAAUCAUUCCCCUUAGUAAUAUUUCAACAAUAUUUCCCUCUCUGCAACGUUUCCUGAUAUUCAGAGCUGAGGCUCGAGGCAGGAAGGAUGCAGGAGAGUUGGACUAAACAGAGGAAGAUUUCAGGGGCUGGUUCUGCAUGUAGUAAAUGUGGUUCUCUUUGAUUUUACAAACACAAACUCUGAGAUUUUUGCAACAGACUGAACAUCAGAGGAGUGGGCUUGACAACUCGACUCGAGACUCGACUUGGACUUGAACCUGUUUUUGACUUGCUUGAUGAAAUCAAGAAAUGACUUGGACUUGCUUGGGACUUGAUUGCUAAAGACUUGAGACUUGACUUGACUGGAGCCCAGUAACUUGAAAAAUCAAGUCAAAUCUUUUUAAGUCACUUAAUACCUUAUAGUGAGCCCAAACCGUUUAAAAAGUGUCGCAUUAACUAAUAGUCAGGAGUUACAGCUGUUGGUAACACCGUGUCGUGUUGCUAAGUCUGCUUAUUUCCUGCAAAAGAAAUUAGCUUGUUUUUGUCGUUUCUGGAGGUCUGUUUCCUUAUUUCUCUCACCAAACUUGGCAACACUGUCUCAAACUCUAGCCUCCCUCAUAACAACAACACCGGGAGGACUGAACAUAAAUCGCUCGCUGGUAUUGCCCGCCUGUUUCCACGUGUUUCCACGUGUCUCUCUUUUGUUUUGUUUUGGAACAGUGAAUUAGAGUAUCAGUUUAAUGUUUAAUUGUAUUUGAGUCUUCCUUAUUUUUGUGUACAUUGUCUAAGUUUCCAAUGAUUGAAGUUUAUCUGAUUAUUUUUUAUAUGACAUGUAAAAUAGUUUGGUUAAAGCUGCACUAUGUAACUUUACACAAACAAGAACCCUUGUUUAAUAAUAAAUGCAAAUAGUGAAAAAUGCUCAUGAUUGAGGACUUGGUUGGAACUAGAAACAAAAAGUUCAGGACUUGGACUUGACUUGAGACUUGAGAGCAAAGACUUGAGACUCGACUUGGACUUGCAACAUAAAGACUUUCCCCCACCUCUGCUUAACAUGCUGCAUUUUCUCUGCGUAUUCAGGAAGGCAUCUGCAGUUUUUCAGUAUAAGACAAACUUCUAAAUGAGUCACCCGCUCAAAACUCCUCCGGUUAGUAUUAUUAAUGAUGUUGCCGAGAGUCUGAGAACCCAGGUGUGUGGGAUGAUCGGAGAAAUCUAUCACAACACUGUACUUUCUCUUAAUUAGCAGAGAGGAUUUGGCAUUUCAGUGACAUUUAGCCUAUGUUAUAAAGUCAUGUCGUCUUCAGGUGAAAAGACUUAUUGAUUCUCAAAGUGCAUUUCUUUGAGUUCACAGUCAAAUCAGCUCAUUUUCAGAUGUUACAUUUAAUUUGUCUACAAUCAGAUUUAAAGGAGGAGGAGAAGGAGGAGGAGGAGGAGGAGGAGGUUUCUCCGCUUUCAACAACUUCAUUUGGAGAAAAUCUCCGUCUGGCCUUGGGAGAAAAAGUAUUCAGAAUUAGAGGAAGAUAAAAAAACGAGUGAAUUUAUCUCAUUAUUGAACCGCACUUGUAUGAUGAUUAAGAUGUAAUGAUGAUAGUUUCAUAUCUUGGGGGAUCAACUUAGUUAAUGAAAUUGUUAACAUCAAAAUAAUGAGUUUUAAAACAUCAUCGGAGGCGAAUGUGGCGCGGUGUUUUUACAAAGCUCUUUAGGGUUGAAUCAUCUGCGUUUACUUCUGAAGAGUAUUUAGUUAUGGAGAGAGGUGUUAACGUGUUAAUGGGCUCGCUCACAGCAUAGCGCUAUCACUAAACAGCAUGAUAGCAGUUAUGAUUGUGAGUCUGUGUGAAAAGCUGAUCAUUUUUAUCUGCUUUCUGGACUCGUCUUGCAGAUUUCAGACUCCCAUUGUCCCCUUGAAGCCUUAUAUUAGUAAUUGCGUACAGAUUUGCACGACAUCAGCACGUCUCUUCCUCUGCAAUAAUCUCCUGUAUGCAUGCUGUGAUGUGCAGGGCUGUGACAGCUGCAGCAAACCCUUCAUUAUUCACGUACACCUUCAUAUUUAUCUUUGCACAACAUUGGGACAGCCCGAUUGACAGCUCAUGAAAGCGACACACAAGUUCUGCGCGUGUUUGAGGGUGUGAGCGAUUCCCAUCCUGACAGAAAUGUGAUGUGACGUUUACCGAAGCUUAUGACGAACGGGGUUUUCUAUCAGCGUGAGGAAUGAGGACGCAGAAGUUUUGGACAAAAUCAAAUAAAAACAAUCACAUCUCUAUCUCUGCAGUCACAAAAAUGCAUGAUGGGAAUUAGAUCGGUAAAACACUUCACUGGAUGAUAUGACAUUUUGUUAUGUAUGUGAAGACACAAAGGGAACAUAUGCAGGCUGACAAACAGCAGAUUCCCAUUAUGCCGUGAAAGCUGCACGUGAACGAGACGCCUUCAUUAAAAGAUAAAAACCCACGUAUGUUAGCUGACAUGCUGCACCGACACACACACACACACACACACACACACACACACACACACACACACACACACACACACACACACACACACGUGUCCACAUACUGAAUGUAAUGACUGUGAGAGAUCAUUGAGAUUAAAAUGUGAAGUGGAGAAAUGGUUCACUAAUGAGACGGCUGCUGUGUACUGACACUGAAGUACCUCGAGUUUAACAUGAAGUGUCAUUACGUGUCCAUCCAGAGUUAUGUUCACAUACAGCAGCGCACUUUACAUGUAGAUCCAAAUAAUGUUAGUUUUAGUCUGUUAAAGUAAAUCCCUCUUCCUCUUUAGGGAGAGUCCUGCUCGAUUUUAAAACUAACACUGAGAGAAUUUAAGAGACAAAACUGAUGAGAGUGAGAAGAAUCAGAUCUCAAACAUAUGAGACACAAAUGAGAAGAGUCGAUUCAGACCUACAAGAAUCGUCUACGAUCAAAAAUCAUCUCAUCCACGCUUCUCAGAGAUCAAGUUUACUGUGUUUUCAUCACCCUUUGGACGAGUUUCAACGGUGACUUUUCUACAAAACUGAGUAAAUGUCUGUUUGUUAGUUUGUUAAUUAUCAGCAGAAGAUAUUUAUCAUGAUAACAGACCGUACAGUAUGAUACAAAAUGACAUGAUAUUGUAUCAUAUAGUAACAUAUCUUAAUGUAUUGUAUCAUAUCCUGGUGUCAUAUUGUAUUGUAUCGUAUUGUGUCAUAUUGUGUCAUAUCAUGUUGUAUCGUGAUGAUUGUGACAUGUCGUGACAUGUUUUGAUGUCAAUAUGACAAUAUGAUACGACACAAUACAAUACGAUACAAUAUGAUAAGAUGCAACUGCAACAUGAGGAUUCAAAACUGUAUGACAUCACACAUCAAAACAUGUCACGACAUGUCACAAUCACCACAAUACAUCACGACAUGACACAAUACAACACAAUAUGACACUAGGAUAUGAUACAUUAUGUUAAGAUAUGUUACAUAUGAUACAAUAUGGCAUGACACAAUGUGAUACAAUACAAUACGACACAAUAUAACGAUAUGACAUGACACAUCAAAACACGUCACGACAUGUCACAAUCAUCACGAUAUGUCAUGACAUGAUAGGGUACAAAAUAAGAUAUGAUAAUACAGGAUUAGUCACAACACACAAUUAUAUGUAAUACGACACGACAAGAUAUGAUAAAGUAUGUCACGACACAACACAACGACACGCCGUGAUAGAAUAUGAUACAAUACUUAAUGGUGCGAUACGAUUGGACACAACAGUGCUGACACAAUAUGAUACGAUACAAUACAAUACAAUACAACACAGUGCUAUACGGUACACUAUGAUACAGUAAGAUAAGACACGAUAUGACCUGACACGUUAUUGUCCUCUUUGGGAAAUUUGUCUCAAACUCAAGUGCUGUACAUGCCUGCAUCCACAAAUGCAUCAAUCAAUGACACAAAUCAAUUAAUCAAUGUUAUAAACGAGGCAAUCACCCCAACGCAAACAGAAAACACAAACCAAGGCCACCACAGCAAACUAGCAACACAUACUGCACACUAACCAGAGUACAUAAGAGGACGGCGCUGUAAGAGAAAAUUACUAACUAACAAGUUAAAAGCCUCAUGACAGCAUGAAGUUUUUAUACAUGGACCCCCUGGUUAACGCAUGCGUAAAGUAAAUCCACUCAGUCAGUCAUCAUCUAUGUUUGGUUGUAAAACCUCAAACUCUCGGACCUCGGCGAACUUCACAGAUUUGGUCGAUUUUCACUCGUUUAGAUGAAAACAGACAGUUCAGUAGAUCAUCCCCCCGGUUCGACCUUUCACUCUUAUUAUGUUAUUCACAAUAAUUACUGCUAACAUCCAGGCCGGAGCAGUUUCAAGCACUUUUCACGACCCCAUAAUUCUGUCUCUAGUUUCUACAACACCCAGGCGCCGCCGGUAAUCUGCAGCCAAAGCCCAUUUCAACAAAACAGGAGGAACAUAAGUGAGCGGGCAUUAAUCAUUUUGCUGCAGCAGGCUCUGUAUAUCUCUGUAAUCUCAUUUACAGCAGUCAGGCACUCGAGAAGACAAGAAGUGUCGCGUUUGGUUGCUUACCGAACAUACAAGAAGAAGCUCAAAGUUACAACUAAACAGCUGAGCAAUUCCUAACCUAAUCAACAAAGCAAAUUUAUCUUAGUCCGAUCUAAGUCCAUUAUCAGCAUGAAGCUAACAACAGCUGCUCCGUUGUAAUGGAAAUCUUAAUUACACACAUUAAUUAUGCCGCUAUGAAUGCAAGAGAAAUGAUAUAUAAGCCAUUAUCUUCAAAAUCAAUUGAACCAUGCAAGACAUAAUGGACUCUUGCACUACAUGCAGAAGUGUGCGAGAUUUUAAACUGAAGGUGAUUUACAUAGACCCCCGCAGAGAGCACUAGAGGGGCUCUGAAAACUCCCUUUGCUUUGUUUCUAUCAGCUCCCACCUCUGUCCAUGAUGGGAUUUUUAUCUGCAGGCCUGAGGGAGGGAUCUGUUUGAAUAGAAGCCGGACAGGCCCUGAGAUAGCCUGCUAUUACCAGCAGCCUGCACCGCAGCACCCAUCAAUCUCGGCAAGUUUCUCUGUUUACACACAGGACGGCACAACAGUCAUGAGUCAUUGCCGCUUAGGAUGCAGUUAGAGUGAAAUGAUGUUUCCCCACCUCCUCUGCCCAUCGCCCAGACACUCCUAAUCAAAGCUCAGGGGGUGAGCGAACCGUCACUGACAUGUGAGGAACAGCCGAUAUCCAACCAGUUAUUACAGCCAAUAUUGUUCUCUCUGAUUGCAAUCACAUGUCUCGGCUUUUGUCUCUCUCCCAGAUCUUUGAUUCGCCGCUUCUUUACAAACUGUCAGCUGCACAGAGACCUGUCUGACUCCCCGCUCCGGCUGCACCGCCAUCCCAAUUCAUUUUCUAUAACAGCACAAGAUUGCCGGGUCUCCACAAUGUAACCCUGAUGAGAAAGGUUAGUGGGAGUGCACCUUCAGGAAGUAGUCUUUGUCUCUUUUUGGACCUAAACUGCAGCUGCACUCUUCAGUCGAGAGAACAGACAGGACUGAAGGAAAAGCAGACGUCUUCCUGCUGCUGCUGCUGCUGCUGCAUCCCACUGAGCAACAAAUUAGCAUUACUUCAGGAGGAAGGAAGGAAGGAAGGAAGGAAGGAACAUGGUACCAGGGUCGCAAUUAAAUUCCUGAUCCACGCUCCUCCACCAUGCAGUAAUCAUGUCAGAAAUCGAACGGAUCGAGCAGAGCUCCCGUGAUGAUUUGAACAUCCAUGAACUCAGAUGUUUAUAAGUCCAGAGAAAACUCUGAUCUCAUUAGGAGGUUCCUUUAAAACUGAGUGAGUGUGAAUGAGAAAGUAUCACAUUACAAACUCAGUAAAGUCCAGAUUAGGAUCAUUAUUGAAGGAACAACAAGCAGAAAACACGAACAAAGUUACUUGAACUGAGAAAAAUUAUUUGACAAACUUUACAAUGAAAGAUGAAAAACUCAUAACAACAUUUCUAUUUAGUCAUAAUUUAAUAGAAUAGGAUGUAAAAUGAGCUUCUGUCCAAGGAAUAAGACAUCUUGACCUCGAGUACUCAUUCAUAAACUCAAACCGUCACUGUUUCACACGGAUUAUUUUCAAGGUGACACAACGUACUUAUGUCACCACGGUAUAUGAUGGAGUAAGCGCAGUUUUGGUUUUGCGGAGCGGGAAAAAUGAUUGAUGAGAGGGGCUUUUCUUCUGCAGAGCUCCAGUAGCUCAUUAGUAAUUCACCUCUGAGUCGUGGGCGGAGACAGCGCUGCUCUGCACUCUCCUCUUCACGCUAGCCUGCAGCCUAACAGGCAAAACCCACAGGAUCCGGAUCCGGGCACGGCAGGCGGAUCAAAUACGCAAGAAUUAUAAUCAAUGUGAGUCAUUCCACAGAAUUCAUCUGCCGUCCGGCUCCGGAUCAGAUACACAAGGCUUUUAUUUUUGCCGGAUGCCGCAGCACGGCGCAUCAAUUCAGUGCAGCAGCGGAAGUUGUAAACGCUACAGAGUAAAAUAUCUGGUAAAUUUUCAAAAUUAAAGAAAAUCAAAACAUUUAACUGUUCUUAGCUUGGUAAUUGGAGAGGCCAGGGUUGUGGGAUGUGGGUGUUUAUAAACACCCCCGUUUAUAUACACCGAUUGGCGGAUCUCAUUCAAUGUCUCACGGGGAAACACGCGAGAACUUGUGAGAUCAUGUCUAGUCUUGCGAGAGCUAUCGGUAAUUUCGCGUGAACUACGAUGGUGGCGGCAGACCAGAUCCGGUGGGCGCUGUAUUCUUGCGUAUUUGAUCCGCCUGCCGGUCCAGAGCGGAGCCGUUCUGGAUCCAGUGGGAUUCCGAGUAACAUUGUUGGUGUAGCAGAAAUAGCAGGUAACAUAGAAGCUCCUGGACACUAAUGUCUUUGGGGACAUGAUGAAAGUUAAUAUCAUAAUUAGCUUUCUUACAAGCAUUACAAUCUGCUAACGUACACGCUUGUUCCAUGAAAACUGCAGUUUAACCAAAAAAAUUAUGUUUUAUCCAAUUACUCAAUUAAUCGAUGGAACAUUACGUAGGAUACUUGAUUACUAAAAUACUUGAUAGCACCAGCUCUAAUUUAGAAAUCUUGAUCAUCUGAUUUCUGCAGAAAAAUCCCUCUGGACUCCCGCUGAUGGAAAGCAAUAAUGAAGUCGACAAUGAGAAGUAAAGUUAACGGCCUCUUACUUUAACUAUGUCCGUGCUUGGAUGUAAAUGGAAACACUCCUCUGAAGCAGACUGUCCUUUACAAGGACAAUAAUGCCGCUGUAUAGACUGUGUGAGUUUGAAAAGAAGACUGUGAGCUGGAGUAAAGAGAGAAUUUCAGACACAACAAACAGACUCACACUAACCCCUGAAGAGACGAUUCAUGUCAGUCUGAGGAGGUUGAAACAAGCUUCUGUACAAAGUUCUCGCACUGUCCUCAUGACUGUUUCUCUGCACAUAUUAAGACAUGAACCGUUAAUGAUCAUGUGAACGUGAUGACUCAUGGAGGAGAAGCUGGUUUUCCGGUGUAAAGUGGUGCAAAAAGUAGAUGUUUAACACCGACAAACACUUUCAAAGUUUCCAUCUCUCUGAAGGUUGCCAUAGUGAUUUAAUGACUUCGAUUGAGCAGAGAGGCUAUAUUUGACACCCUCGAGGCUGCUGCUUGGGUGCAAACAGAGAAGACAUGUCACAUAAUUUACCAAACGAGGCGAGCGUCUCAGUUUACACGGUUUUAGAUUAUAGUACCCAAAAGAAGACCUCUGAAUUUUACACUAAAUUUGGUUAUUUAUCAGGCAACAACCGUACAACCAUCUGUCAGUUCAGCGGUACAGUCCUCUGAAAUACUGACUCAUUCUUGGUUCUUCUCACGUCGUCAGCAGCUCUCUCUCUCUCUCUCUCUGCCUGUAACAGCAGAUGUGAUGCCAAUCCUUUUACACCUGCAGCGCCCGUACAGUCCAGGAUUAUAUGUGACAAACACGACUGGAUUCAGGGUUUUUCCCUGCAGAACUUUCUCCAGAGAGUUUGUGUCGUAUGUAAAAAUGUAAAAACUAAAGUAGGCUACACUCUGUGAAGAAACCGAUGACGGGUUAUACUGGAGAAAUAAACGAGGCUCAUAACAGACGCUCUGAAAAACAAACUUUCAAUGUGUAAGUCACAUAAAUCUGAGUAUAGACACUUUCUGACCCAUUUAUUGUUUUAAAAGAGGACACACACACACACACACACCUCACACAGACGGUAAAUAGAAGACUGGCCUAUUUUAACGUCGGUGGAUAUUUUAUUCAGUGUUCUGAGAUUUUGAAGCAGGAGUGUGAAGACUGUAGUGUUUUUGCUUUCAGACAUGGAGGAGGUUCAGCAGUGAUAAAGUGUAACAGCACAGAUUGACGGAGCCUGGAGGCGAGAGCAGAGGUGCGCCGUGGGAGGUUGAAAUUUAAAUACUGUAAAAUCGACUGAGUACAAGUUAGAAAUGAAGUAUCCGAAAAGUUACUGAAUCAAAAUGUCAAUACUACGUCUGCACACUUACCUCAUUUCAAACAAGGUUAUAAUAGUUUUGGAUUUACGAUAAUCAGCCUGUUUCCAACAAAAGCUAUUUCAGUUUUCAUCUUGUAAAUAAAUGUCUCUAUUUUACACACUGGAAACAUAAACUUAACGGAGAACUUAGAGGGUGUUUUCUCUGUGCAGCCGGUUUCUUUACUAUGACUGAUGUUUUGACUUCAUGCAUCAUGUUUUGUCCUGAUCACUGCAGUUUGUAAGUUUGUUCACAGCAUGGCGAGAGCUACAGAGGAGGAUUAGAGCCACUGGAAAAAAACAAAGAAAGGUCCAAUAUAAUUCUUUGAAUAAUUAUUCUGAGAUUAAACUUAGAAUUCUGAGAUAAAAAUCAGAUUUCUGAGAAAAAAGGUUUCAAAUCUGAGAAAGAAAAGUCAGAAUUCUGAGAAAAAAAUUAAAAAUUAUUAGAUUAAAGUCGGAAUUCUAAGAUUUGAGUCAGCAUUCUAAGAAAAAAGUAGUCGCAAUUCUGAGAAAAAAGUCAAAAUUCGGAGAAAAAAAGUCAGAAUGCUGAGAUUUAAGUUAGAAUUCUGAGAAAAAAUAGUCGGAAUUUUCAGAAAUAGUCAAAGUUCUGUGAGGAAGUCAGAAUUCUAUGAAUAAAAUCAGAAUUUUGAGAAAAAGUUCAGAAUUCUCAAAAAAAAAAACUGGAAUUCUGAGAUUAAGGUCAGAGUUCUGAUUAAAUCUCAUCAUUCUGAUAUUUUCUUACAGAGGUUAAAUUAGCAGACAUAAUCAUGAUUCUCUUUGUCCAUCCACACGUCCACAAUGGAGCGUCAGUGUCUCACCUGUUUCACAACACAGGAGUGGAUGACAAUCUGGAUCACUUGAAUCAAGAAUAAUAAUAAAAAUAUAUAUAUAUAUCUGACCUUUUUCCUUUUUUCCCCAGUGGUCCUAAUCCUCCUCCAUAGCGAGCAGUGAAAGGCAGCGUGGGUUAAAACUGCGGCUCAUGAUCCUCCAAACAAACCCGACUCUGUGGUUUUUAUUUUCAGACAUUUAGCCGAAUCUUCUUCUCUCAGCUGUAAUAAAUAAACUCUGCUAAACACCUUCCCUCUCCACUCCCCCCUCUCUUUUCAUUUCUGUCUAAAUGUGACUUUCAAGUUUCCCGAGUCGAAUUCAUUUUCAUCAUCUCGCCCUGCCUCGUGCGUGUCUCUCUGCACAAUAAUUCACCCAUUUGUAACCAUCAGGCCUUUAUUACAUUUUAACCAAUCAUGUUUGUUAUCUCUCAGGUUUUAAGCUUUAAAUGAAACCCACAUUUACAGUAACUGCCACACACGCUACAUCUAUUUUUCCUAUUAUGAGCUCAGUCAAGCAAUUUCAGAGCAAAAUUGUCUUUUAAAGGAUGAAAUAAACAUGAGCCGAGCCAUUAUCAGGGAAAUGUGAGCUCCACGAGUGACACUGGAGUACUUGCUCUUUGAUUUGUUGCUGAAUGGCUUUACAUUAACACAAUACUUCUGCUGAUGUGUACUGUGAAGAGAGAUGUAAUGAAGCGCCGCUGUGAAUAAUACCUCCAAUUAAGCCCAAUAAAGUUCGUUAAAGCGCGGGAGAUAAUCUUCAACUCUGUCGACGCUUUUCUAUUUUUUCAAUUAAAGUAGAUUCUGAAAAACAGGAGAAUAAUUUUAACUUUUAAUGUGUCUGUUUUCACAAAUCAAGGUUAAAGAAAGGUUAAUUUAACAAACUCAUUAUGGAUCCACCAGAGAGACGCUUCGUUUUACGAUGUCCUGUGAAUGCGUCGCACAGGGACGCACUAAUUCCCCCCCGCUGAGUCUCUCUCCCUCCCCUGUUACUAUUUUUGAAAUCUGUCCCAUCUGGCCGCUCUUCACAACAAUAUUGACCAAUGAACUUUCAUUUCCUCUGUUGUUAAAUAGAAAUGAAUCUGCUCUCCAUCACAGGUGGGAGGCACACUUAAUUGACUCGUGUUAACAUCUUUCCAUGGCGUGUACACCUGCUCUCUUUCUAUAUGCACAUUUUAUCAUUUCAAUUCAUUCCCGUCCAGCGGUUUGACAGUCAACCCUCUGAUGGACAAUCAAAUCAAAUCACUGAACCUCUGGGGCCUCAGAUUUGCAUGAAAGCUUGAGUGUAAUGGUUUAUAACAGCCUGUGAACCCGUAAAUGUGACGCCUACAGGUCCGAAAAUCUUACAACUUUGUGUUAAAUGUUGAUAAAAAAGAAGCUGAUGGUUUACAAUUAAUUCAAAGAUGAUUUUUAACUGAAAUAGAGAAAAGACAAAAUAUAAAAUAUUAAGGCUGAAACAUUUUACAUUUACUGCAGACUUCAAAUCGGGGCUACAAGAUUAAUGGGUUUUAAAUCGUAAUCAGAUUAAUUAAUUAUGAUGACGUUAAAAAGACCUAAAUUGUUAAAUCGAUUUUCCUCUCUAUCAUGUCUCGCGGCUCCAGUCCACGGUAGAUACAAACACCAAUGAAGAAGAAGCAGCUGAACACCAACGAAGACUUAGUGUAUGAGACAAAGCCACAGAGACAGAGAGAGAGAGCAUAGCACUCGGCGGUCAAAAGUUUGUCUAACCUUAUUAGGAAGAAUGAACUCUUAUCUCAGAGCAACAUUAACAACAGUUAUAUCCUGUAAAGGAGGAUGAACGACCAACAUGAUUGAACACCUCAGGAUUCAUGGAGGAGAAACACCUGAGUGCCCGUCUUUGACACACUUCACCGGUCUUCCACCAACCAGCCAGAAUCAGAAAAGUGAAACAAUAACUUAAAUGGAGGGUAAACUUAAAUAUCCAACUAACGUUAGCCCUCGAAUUUUUAUAUAGACAAACGACCUGACAACAAAAACUGGUAUUUAUAAACUGGUUGAAAAUAAUCCUGAGAGAAAUUCACAGUAAAGUUCUUAAAAAGUUAAAGUUAAAAAGAAUUGAAAUCGGAAUCAGAACGGGACUCCUUCAAAAUCAAACGAUAUCCAACCCUAGCUACAGCACCACAUACUGGCUUGGCAUAUGAACUACAUCCUUUUCAGUGGUUUAGUUUUGAGAGACGAUAGAAAACCUCUAAACUUAUCAGGUUAUUUUAUGACAGGAUAUAAAACAUGAACACUUCAGAGUUUCUCAAGGAUAGUGAGAGACUGCGUGAGUGAAGAGUUCAUUAUUUCAGAUUUAUAGACAAAAAAACGCCAAAUUGACAUCAUUUUAAAAAAAGUCAGGGACUCCAUAAAAACCCCAAGACCAAAAACCAAUCCUGGAUCAGUCCUAAUCUUCAGACUGUAUUAAAACCAGACAUGUCUCUGCAGCUGAAAUCACUGUGUGUGCUUUAAACCAAACCUGAGACCAGAUAAACAUGAUGAAAACAUGCUGGAAACUUCUCAGGCCCAUUUAAGAUGAACUGUGAGGAAGAAGAAACUGAUCUCCUGACAAAUCAGAAUCUGACUCUCCAAACUCAGCAUCCCUGAUGGUUUAGGGAUCAUCAGAGUCCACGUCAGCGGUAACUUCCACCUCUGUGAAGGCUCCAUAAUGCUGAACAAGAGUUUCAAGUUAAAACUUUUGAUAUGUUUCUGUUGAGAGUUUCAGUGAUUUGCAGACCAUCAAACGUCAUAUUUUGGCUGUAAAAGAUGAAGAAGAAUAAAAUCAAACCUGCAGACUUACUCUGAUGAGAUUGAAAGUUUGUGUGGAGUGAAAGUGAAGUGCAAAAAGGACACCUGUGCACAGCAGAAAAAAAAGAAAUGACUGUGAGUCUAAUUUGUCUUCAGAGCUGUGAAAGGCUGAAAGCUGCAACAUUCAUUUUUGAUUGGCUAUCUGAAUAUCACGCGUCUCCAAAACGAACGUCAAUUCCAUCUCAUCUACUGCCUGACAGAACUUAAAUUGGAUCCCAAAAAGAAUAACAUGAUGGAAAUGAAAUCAACAUUUCCAUUUUCUUCUUCCUCUGCCACCCCUCCUGGUUGUUGAUUCAUUGACGAACGUCGUGUUUUUAUUUAAGAUUGUGGGAACAGAGUUGGAAAACCUUCCCAGCUGAGAUUCAGACGUCUCUCCGCCGUGUGGUUUUUCACGCCUGUUAUCACAAACGACUGACAGAGUCUGAACAGGCUCAUCACUUUCUUGAUGUUGGCUGCAUUCACAAUGUUUCCUCUCUUUACUUUACUUUCCCCGCCGCAGGAACGUUUCCUCCCUUGCAGACCUUAUGCAGAUUACAGGUAAUUUUAAUGAAUCUUAGCGCAGAGCCAUGACAAUUAUAGCACAAUGCAAGAGCAGCUGAUUUAUAUAGAAGUAUCCCCUUAUUUCCUACACAAUUAACCUUGAGCUAAUGCUAAUUUACGCCUUCAGUGCACACAAGAUACUUCCUGGAAAUGAUGUGUAAACAGAGGAGGGCCAGGAGCGUAAAACUGUAUCCACUCAAACUAAAGAAAUAUGCAUGAGUGCUUUCUUCUCCCGCCCCGGAGUAUCCUCCUCACUCUGCUGUGUUUUAUGUGUCAGGCGUGGUGAAUUAAUGAGCGUACACAUGAGCUCAGCGCCCACCCCCACAGUGAACUAUAGCAGGAUGUGAACACACCUCCUGUACAUCAUUAUGAAGGAAACAGAUCUGUUCAGGCCUUGUUAAGAUACCCGGGUGUGGACGAGGAGCGGUAUAACGCCGCCGUCUGCCUGACAUGGUUUAUGUUCGGCUUAAUAAAGGAUUAUUCCGUCUACUUUUUAAAUUAUUUCAGCACUUUUUUCUGAGUUUGAAGCCUGAUUUAUGUCCAAAUGAAACUCUAACUUCACUAACUACUUUCACAUCCACCCUGUCCACAGUCCUUCUCAUUAAACUGAGGCGCUCCUCAUGACCUUUAAGAGCGCCGCAGCUGACCGCUGCCUCACGAGAAGAUGAGACCGCUGUCCUGAAGUUUAUCAAGGUGAUGGAGAAACUUUCCUCAGUCACAGGAGAGGUAACUAGAGCCGAAAACUCACAGGAUCCAUGUUGGGCGCGUUCACGGUCUGGUGUAGGUACCAGAUGUGUUCAGGCUGCCAGAUCAACUCGAGCCCGGUGCUUAUUGACGACUGAUUUACAACAAACUGCAAUAAAACUGGACUCACACCACCACUUUUUUCCUUUUUUUCCUGGUACUUAAAUUGUGUAUAUUGUAUAUAGUUUUAUUUUUUCUUCUUCCUUUUUCUUUUUCUAAUUUUUUUCUUAAUUUGAACAUUUAUUUAAGUUCUUAAUAUACCAUCUUUAUUUUUAUAACUGCAUUUUUGCAUGUCCAUGUAGAUUCUCUGUCUGUGAUGCUGCUGUGACAGAAAAAUUUCAAUAAAGGAAUAUUCUAUUCUAUUCGAUUCGAUAACACUAUAUGAUUGGCUGUAAGAUUUUAGUAUGGACAUUACAGAAGCGGUUUUCACCAGAUUAGGUUUCAUGGGAUUGUAGUUCUUCUGAGAAAAAUGUAGAAUUUUACGAAGAAAUCUAUCGCUACCUAUCGAAGGGGAAUUACGACAGUCUGACUGAAGUCACCAAGGAAAUGUGGAAUAAAAGCAAAACCAACUAUUGAUAAACGGAGAUCCUGAGGGUCUUCAACAGGCACUGGGCUCCAAGUUGAUCUGACAGCCCAAAGACAUCUAGUACCUCUACCGGCUCCAUCGGAAAGCACACGGGAGAGCGUGUUCGGAUCAUAGUAGCAGCGUCGCAGCAGCUUGACUCAGUGUACAGAAAACUACAGACUCACAGCAGGCUGCUUUUUCUUUCUAAAGGUCCAUUUCCUGCUAAUUUUGGAUUUUAUUCUGUGACUAUUGAGCUUCUACUGAACGUGAACGAGCAGAGGCACAGAGUAACCUACGUCCCUCUUUGCUGUUUCCUUCAGACAGAGUUAGCAGCUAGAAGUCCUGCUGUGGUCCACAUGGAUCAGGGAUAGACCAUGAGGCUGUUCUGUGUUAAUAACAAAUCUAUAACCAGGAAGUGUUUCUUAUCUUACAGUCAGGAGUCCACAGAUGGUGGUUUAUUUCAGAAUUUACCAGAUGACAUGUUCCUCUCCCGUCUAAAACCAUCUUCUCUGCGCAGACUGACGCAUGCUGGGUGCAUGAAAAUAGACUUGGCGUGAAGCGGCGUGCAAAGACGCUUCUGCAACGCUUCCUGUGUGCGAUGCUGCGUUGAUGAGAGUGGGAACACGGCAGCGUAGAACCCGACACUGACAGGACGCACCAAACACGACUCCCAUCAAAGUCAGCCACGGUGUCACAGAUUAUCUCUCUGUUGUGUUCGUCGUGAUCAGAGCGAUUUUCUCUCCUCAGAUCUGAGCUGAAGACGAUCACAGCCUCGAACUCAUCAAUGUUUAACAUAUUUAGCACGUAUGUGGAUCUCUGAGGUCAUGGUGACGUUAUACCUGUGCGAAGAUCACAAGUUAAGCUUCCUUAACUCAUGAUUCUUCGUUUGUGUUGUUAACAGCAGGUGGAGCAUUCACAGGCCGUGGAGAAUCAGCCUGCUUCUUCAUGAUAAACUCAUUAAAAGUCAGACUAAAGAUAAGCUUUAUCCUUUUGUAAACUCAUAUUUGAGUUUAAAGCACAUCAGUGAACCUAACAUGGUGCAUGUGGACCGUCUCCUUCACCACCACGAACCACAGCCACACUUUAUUCUGAGUUAAUCCCACAAACACCCACAGACACAAUUGUUUCAUUAAUCCACCGCCGAAAAUAGCGCUCAACAAAUCCACUGUUAACCGCCGACUUCAGUAACGUUUGUCGUAAUCUUUACCGCCCAGCUGUUUGAGAAAUUAACCUUUAUUUUAAAUAAUAAAACCGGUUUGUUCCGGUUUUCAGGCAAAGUUACAAAGACGUGUUAAAACAGAAAGGCAGAGUUCCCCCUGGGGCAGAAUAACACGUUGUUGGUUUAGGUUUUCUCACGUCGAGUGUCAAAGAAAAGCUGAAAAAGAGUGAAUCAUACCUGCUACCUGUUAACGAGGAAGAAGCACCUGUUCAGACACAGAGAUUAAAAAUUAACUAAAAAGAGUUCUUUACUUUUGUCUUUAAACGGGAAAUGUUUACACGCCGCGCUCUCUCUUUUACAGCACACAUGACGCUCACGCUUUCACAUCUCGUUCACACGCUGAAGGCAGAAGCUGCUAUAAAAGCUCCAUCAGUUUUGACUAAAUCCACUCACACACAGAUUCUGGUGGAGUUAGGUUCCUGGCCCAAAGACAGCCGGACCUGAGAUCGAACCCCUGACUUUGGGUCGCAGCGCCGCCCACGCCGACUUCAAACUGGAGUUUUUUAAAAGUUAAGAAAUGAACUUCAAACGCAGCUUCAUUAAGUUUUUAAGCUUAGAUGAAGAAACAAUUAACCGAGUGUGACGAGGAGACCUCAGAGACGCGCUGAUAAAACCGAGCCGCAGUAUCUCUAAUUAUCUUUAUAUUAUUUCAUCUGAGGGAUUGAAGACCAAGUCUGAAGACCCUGAAACUCCCCGCCAUGUUUACACAAACUUUAACGCCAUAAACCGCUUCGUUCUGAGGCGUUUUCAUACGUUUUAUUCUCACAUUAAGAUGGCGAACUCUCAAUAUUUUCAGGGGGCGAGCUAAAAGAAGUGAUAUUGACUUCCCGCUGAGCUAAUAUACGCUGCCUCGUGUCAAGUUGUGUAAAUCACAGGGGUAAUCAUUAAGGCACUUUAAAUAGCUCCCUGUUUGCUCUGUGAUUAAGCUCCAAAAACAAACCGGGGGUUUGACAUGGGGGGUAUUAAUACGAUCCGGUGGUGUUUUUAGAUCGUGAGGAGGCGAGAGGGAGAGAGAGGGAGAGGGAGAGGGAGAGAGAGGGAGAGAAAGCAGCUCGAGCCUUUGAUCGUGUGCGAUGCUGAGUGUGGUGAUUUGCUGCUCCCACAAACCCUUUGAAGCCCCCUUCCUCCUCAUCCUCCUCCUCCUCCUCCUCGCUGAAUGGGCCGGUCAGUCCUCCGAGCUUUACUUAUUUAUGAAUUCAUCCCUCUGAACCCCGGAGAUGAUCCUGGUGAUUCAUUAGAUUAAAAUAAACACAUUAAAGAGUCUUUUAGGGCAGGAACCAUCACUCCAAACACUGACCCUCUGCUGUUAUCUACUAUAGAAAUAAAGUUUUUGUCAGGUUCUCUUCCUCCAGAUCAUUUAAACUCAUUUCUUACUGCUAAAUUAAACACAUCAGAGUGACCAUAUUCUGAAUCCACAAAAAGAGGACACGAUUACGCGGGGGCGGAGUCACAGAGUCGCACGUACCCUGAAAAAGAGGACAAAAACAGAGGGUAAAAGAGGAUGUAUGGUCACCCUACACACAAUGUACCUUUAAAUAGGGCCGGGCGAUAAACCCAAAAUUCGCUGAUAUCGAAAUUUACAACAAUAACCAACGUCAUUUUGCCAUGUCAAAAAAUUCAGAGUAUGGCUGCACGAUUUAUCGUUUGAGCAUCGUCUUCGCGAUGUACGUGUGCGUGAUAGUCACACUGCAGAGUCUGCGAUGUCGGAGGUGAAUGAACUCAGUUAAUUUCAAGGGUAGCUGACUGAGAUAAACUGCAUGCGACUCUGCAUGUGCUGUGCAGUGAUCCACCAAUCACAUUCGUUCUUUACUCAGUUGCCAAUCAGACUACCCUGCCAGCCAUCAAUCAAAAUCAGAGAGGAGGAAACCACGCCCCUGCAUAUGGAGUGAGUCGCUGGCGCUGCUGGUGUUGUGCCAACAACGAUUGAAAAAUGAGCAACAAACAGAGAAAACCACCGAAAAUGAAGAUUUGUUGCCAAAAAGAAAAGGAAAGUCAGUUAUCUGGAAUUAUUUCGGUUAAAAGAAGGAUGAAGUCGACCAAACAAACACGUCUUCUGUGUUCAUCUGUUUUCCAGAACAAUAAAAACUAAAAAUAUCUCUGAAUCAGACAGAAGCCAUUCUACAAACAUUCACAAAAAGAGGUAAGAUCAGAGCAGGUUAACUGUCCUCAAGAUUUCAGCAGAAAGUUUUAUUCAGGUCAUCUGGUGAAAAUGUCUGUAUUUUUUAAUAUCGUAAUAUAUAUCACAGGGUUUAAAAAAAUUGCAAUGUUCGUUUUUUCCAAUAUCGUGCAGCCUUUAUUCAGAGCCAAAGAAAUAAAUAAAUCAAAGUUGUUUUCGGAUGUGUGUAGGUAGGCUAUGGUCUCAUGUCCCUUUAAGACGCUGUCCUACAUCAGAGACGUGACUCCACCCCAUCCAGUCUGUAACAAAGAGGGAAAGACAGGUGAGGAGAUGGAGGACGGAGAGAAAGUUGGAGCGGCUGAAGUAGACGAAGUUAAUGUGGGAGGGGGUGAGCAGCUUGCGGAUUAGUUAUUGUCUGUUUAUCGUUAUCGAGGUGAACUGAUCAAUAUAUCCUGAUAUUGAUUUAAGACCAUAUCACCCAGCCCUAUACUCCACUCAGUCUGAGCUCAUUCAAACUCACUUCUUACACACAAAACAAAAGUCUGUUAGGAAGAAAGUUUGGUUUGUGAAAGUGAAACUGGAUCCUCGGCUGACUCCAGAGAUAACAGCCAACAAAAUGUAAUCUUGUCCGUGUCAGUGCAGGCUGUCAAACAGAGCAAAUUAACAUUUACUGAAGAUCCAGCCUGUCGUCUUCUUACAGCUGAGUGAUAUAAAAGGGUGACGGUAUCCUGCUGAUCUCCCAUUGUCACAUUAUCCAACAGUGGAAGCAGAGCUGCUUGAUAAUAAAUGGGCUGGUUCUGGUGCUCAGACAAGUUUGAUGUUUCUUUAAAAUGUUGGAUUGAGCCUCUCUCAGCCUCACAGUAAAUGAUUUGGGAGAUGAGUCACUCUUGAAAGUCUGUUUCACUGAAGACUGUCUGUCUUCUCUCCUCGGUGGCAUGUUAUACAACAUCUAUCAGCCGGAGCCUUUUCCACAAAAAUAUGAGACGUCUGUGGAUGAAUCUGUGACUUGACCGGCUGUGAGAUUGCAGGAAGACGUCAACGAAAUUCUGUAUUCUCCUGAUAUUACUCAGAGACAAUGGCUGAAGUUUCUCUGCUUUUACUUUCUGUACAAUUCUGAACAGAACUUCAGUGAAAACCAGCCUCUGCACCCUCAGACUUCAGAAUAAUAAUAUUAAUCAUAACCUCACCCACAAGAAUCCAAUCUUCCUGGAAACACGACGCCCACCUCUGCUGCUUCACUGAGAGCUCUCAUGUAAAGGUUAGACAUGUGGAGUUAUAAUAACAAAUGGAUGAUCUGCAGCCUCUCAGUUUCUUUCCUCACUAUCUGUGAAGUGACCUGAGUGGAGGAGGUGCUGUCUGAAUGAGGUCCUGCUCUGAUUGGCUGUUUAAAUAUUGAUUGACAGGUGCAGAAAAACACUGAGACAAAAAUGACGAGUGCUCCAGGAGAACCUGUUCUGUUCUCCUCUCUCCUCCUCCUCUCAUCCCUGUCACUACCUGAUCCGUCCUAGAAACCUGAUUUGUACUGUGCAUGUGCGAAAUUUAUGUCACUUCCUCUACUAGCCAUCUUUGUGACAGCUCAGCAAUUCUUCAACUAAAGCAGAGCGCCGAAAAGUCAAGAGAAUGGCGCCCAGUUUCACGAUUAAAAGUUCUUACUACGGCUGGUUCAUUAAAUAAUGAAAUAAAUCCUCCCUUGAUACUUUGAAAAGUCAGAGAACCAUAGCUUUGACAGGGGCUAUUGCCGAGGCAUUCGCUGGAUCUCCUGCCCAGCACAGUGAGACGUUUUGGGCCACAGGGAGCGCCAGCACCCGUCCAUAAUUUUGACCAAGUGCUGGCGCCCAAAAUGUCUCAUUGUGCUGGGCAGGAGCUCUGGCGAAUGCCUCGGCAUUAGCUCUGGAGCGUCCUGAUAGCUAGCCUGUCACAACACCGACUUGUUUCAGAAUUGAUCGGUAAUUUAAAUGAAGUUUUUAUUACGGAUCGGGAAAGUAGCAAUAAGUGACUAUCUGCCGUAAAAUGCAUUGAAACACGAAAAGAGUAAGUUACAUUCCAAUUUAUUGGCGAGCCAAUUAAUACGGCCAAUUUUAGCCCGUUUGAGAUGAAUUGGUAAUCGGCCAAAACUCGCCAAUUGUCGCCGAUAUUUUCAAAAAUAAAAUGCGGAGAAUAAGAUUCAGUUUCACUUCGAAAAUGUUCGGCCAUUUGAAAAGUUCCCCGACCUAUCCUGUAGAUGGCGCAGCGACCUCAUGACAAUCUUCAGUUGAAAACGCUUCUCUGGUCAGAGUUUGAUUCAUGAUGAAGUCAUGAGAAAUACAGGGAAUAUUACUGAGAUUAAUAUUAAGUGUUUGAAAGGCUCAAAAGCAGCCAUUUGUUUAAAAAACAAUAUGUAUUUAUGUUACUUAAAUCAACAAAAUUUUUAAAACUUCCUAAAAGAUUUAAAAAAUCAGCCGAUUAGUCAGCUAUUGUUUUUUUUUCUUCCCUUAUAAUCAGUAUCGGCAUCAACCCCAAAAAAUCCAUAUCAGUCGGGCCCUAAUCGGUAGUUUAAAUAAAGUUUUUACUUUCACUCGCUCAGUACGGAUCAGGUCAGUAGCAAUAAAAACGACUAACUGCAGUAAAAUGCAUUGAAACACUAAAAGAGGAAGUGACGUUUGUUUCACACAUGCGCAGUACAAAUCAGGUUUCCGGGACUUAUCUGGUGGUGAUAAUACCUCCUCCCCCUCUCUCUUCUCUCCCUGCUCUCCUCUCUCUCCUCCUCCUUCUCUCCUCCUCCUCUCUCCACCUGUUGCUCCCUGAUCGUUCGACCUCCAAACCGACCACUUCCUUAUAAGGUUAAUUGAUUCCAUAGAAGAUCACCGUUUUUCUGUUUCUGGAUGAGUCUGACGUGGUCAGGGUUCAAAGCUGUUGCCCCUCCAGCUCGGCUUGCAUCAUUAGACCUCCCAUAAUGCUUUGCGCAGAUAGAGAAAUGUAUAUGUGAACGAAGUGCAGCAGGUCCACGUAGUUAAACAGAGGGAUCCAUCAGGGCCUAGUUAAACGAAUGUAAUCACUGUUUAAGUAGGAUGAGGAGCUGUGAGGGUUCUGCAGGGAGAACACUUUCAUACACUGUCGUCCUUUUACUUGAUUAGAUCUGAUUUAUUAAAAGUAUUGACUUAAUGACAGCCGAGAGCGCAGAAGAGGAAAUCCAUGCUUGUGUUGGAAAGCUUUUAAGCUGUACUUUAAACAUCCAUCCAGGUAAGAAAUGUGCCUCUUUAUCCGGCAUCAUUAUUCCCUUCACACACACACACACACACACACACACACACACACACACACACACACACACACAGGCUUAGAUCAACAUGUUGAAUCUGUAAUGCUUCCCUCAAGUCUCUCACUAUUGUUUAUUUAACGCUCUCUCCAUUGUGAAUACUCGCGGUGAUUGUGCGUUUUACUUCCAGCGAACACAGAGCGCAGCAGGCAAACAAACGAAGCCGCUAAUAAAGAAACCCGAGAAGAGCGAGCGUGACACCGUACCAGAACGCUCCUCCGACAAAUCAUAUUUGUGCUUUUCACGCCUUAAGCCUCUUGUCUCUAAUCUAUCCCUCUCUUCCUGUGUAGGUGUGUGUGUGUGUGUGCGUGUGUGUUUGUGUGAAAUAUGCUUUCUGUCCAUGGCGAGGAUCCUCCAUUGUUCUGUCCAACAGGCAGGAGAGAAAACGUAAGCGCGAUUUGGCAGCGUUUUCUGAAACCACAAGCACCUGCAAAGCAGAUUAAAAGGAGGAGAAUAAAGACGGCGUCGCUCUGAGCGUUCAGAGGCUUUGUUUGUGCACGCCGUGACAUCAUCAUUUCCUGCUCAUGAGCGAUUAUGUCAGAUGCAAUAAAGACACGAGGGGAUAUCAUGACCCUUAGAUGUUUAUGAUCUCUGCAGAGAGAAGUCCCGAUAAUGCAUCAAACACGCUUCAGGUAUUAAUUAUUGUGGUUUACAGGAGCCGAAGAUAAUGACGCUCUUCUCUUCUCUUUGUUUUGGAGUCGCUCUGUUAAAGCGAGAAGAUUAAACUACAUGAAAAAAACUUUCUCAGGUUGAAAUUCGACGCCCCACAGAGCAGAAUUAUCUGUCUCAGCAGGCGACUGUGUCAGGUUUCUAAUCCACAUUCUCCACUGUCCUUUUCUGCAGAUUAAUUUGGGUUUUUUAUUUGAG